UCAAUGGUGCAUUGUCUGGUGUAAUGAGGAAUAAAAGAGGGUUUUAUGCUUGAUGGUAAUGGCAUUACUUAAAACCUUCAGAGUCAAGUGAGUUAAUGAAUGAUGUUGAGAUGUCAGAGAAGCUUUUUCCUCUGACCUACAUACUGUAAGGUCGCAUGCAGCAGAGUCACUCUGUGGUAAAAAGCUACUCUACACUUCUCAGGCUCAGAGUGGGAUGUAACGGGUGUCGUCUGGAGAUAGAGAGGAGGACCAAGGUGCAGUGUGUUUCUUGACAGGUCUUACCAGCAUAUCUUCUCGUUCCUCAAGUUCUGUUUCCUAGCUUUUCCCGGUUCUGACCAUUCUGCCCACCCUAACCCUGAGCCUGCCUGUCGUCCCUGUACCUGCCUGACUCUGACCUGGUUACGAACCUCUGCCUGUCCUCGACCUGCCCCUCGCCUGCCCCAUGUUUAUAAUAAAUCAUCUGAGAACUGUA
Molecule: long non-coding RNA, 472 nt
Organism: Oncorhynchus gorbuscha (pink salmon)
Lineage: Eukaryota; Metazoa; Chordata; Actinopteri; Salmoniformes; Salmonidae
Exons: 3
Source: RefSeq, a predicted model, not a curated record